AUUGAACGCUGGCGGCAGGCCUAACACAUGCAAGUCGAACGAGCGGCGGACGGGUGAGUAAUGUCUGGGAAACUGCCUGAUGGAGGGGGAUAACUACUGGAAACGGUAGCUAAUACCGCAUACCAUCGGAUGUGCCCAGAUGGGAUUAGCUAGUAGGUGGGGUAAUGGCUCACCUAGGCGACGAUCCCUAGCUGGUCUGAGAGGAUGAUCAGCCACACUGGAACUGAGACACGGUCCAGACUCCUACGGGAGGCAGCAGUGGGGAAUAGUGCACAAUGGGCGCAAGCCUGACGUAGCCAUGCCGCGUGUAUGAAGAAGGCCUUCGGGUUGUAAAGUACUUUCGGUGGGGAGGCGUUACCCAAAGAAGAAGCACCGGCUAACUCCGUGCCAGCAGCCGCGGUAAUAC
RNAcentral lists this ribosomal RNA (406 nucleotides) under uncultured bacterium. RNAcentral's name for it is "partial 16S ribosomal RNA". It matches the Rfam family "Bacterial small subunit ribosomal RNA", at positions 30 to 526 of the family's 1533-position model. The record is from RNAcentral.